RNAcentral lists this long non-coding RNA (572 nucleotides) under Homo sapiens (human). RNAcentral describes it as "HSALNT0243402". The record is from RNAcentral. Lineage: Eukaryota; Metazoa; Chordata; Mammalia; Primates; Hominidae.
CGCCGGAGGGGAGGAAUGCGGCAGGCGGAAAACUUAGGAAGAGCUGGAUGCCUCCCACGGAGAGCGUCCCUUCCAAGCGGCCCCGGAGUGGAGUGGAGUGGAGUGGAUAGGGGUAGACUUUUCACACGGGGACAAAUUAUUACAGGAUAUCUGCGCCCCCUGUUCCGAGUCACUCGGGGCCAUCGGUUACUUCAGCAGGUUCUCUGCAUCACGGACCCUUUUGAGGCUCAGGAAUUUACCAUGGAAAUUAUUGGCCAUAAUUGUUGGUGACACUAUCAAACUCAUAGUCACUCUAUAACGAUGACUCUGCAGAGGGCCCCCACCAGCAAGAAGACCCUCACCAGAUAUAGCCUUCAACCUUGGACUUCCCAGCCUCCAGAGCUGUACAAAGUAAAUUUAUUUUUCUUAUAAAUUACCCCAUCUGAGAUAUUAAGUUGUAGCAACAGAAAAUGGACUAAGACAAAUGUGUAAUUCAAGAGAAAAGAAAAAGAGAUCACAUUAUAAUCUGCCCCCUAAGAUCUCUUAUAAUGAUUUGUUAUAAUUUAUAUUAUAGUGUAAUAUACAGUAGUCAC